CAACCAUGUGUCUGAUUUCUUAUAAUUACUCCAGAGCUUUCUGAAUUGGAGAUUAAAAACUAGUCUCGUGUCGUUAUCGUCCUAAUGAUUCUAUCAGUUGGGAGGUAAUGCUGUUGCUGAAGUUGCCGGUUAUGGAACAGGAAACCCAGGAACUGAAGGAUCAAGCCACGAUUUUCCCUCUACCUCUCUACUAUGCUGAUCCAUGGCGACAUUGUUGCUCAUCACAAAAAUUGACUUGUACUCUAUCUAAUGGCCUAAUGUCAGGCUGACAUUUCUGCAAAGAGUGACAGCGAAAUAACUAGAAUUCAAUAUAAGCUGUGAUGUACUUGUCUGAUACUGUGAUUCAAGCACUGAGAAAAAACUUGUUGUGUGAUGGUUGUAUAGUUAAUAGGGUACUUGUAAUGAGGUUGCGAUGCUCUUAGGAUCUUGUCUUUUUGUGUCAACCCAAAUCAAAUUCAAUCAGGUUGCAGAGGAAUAUUUUCAAAACAAGCAGACUGUCCUUGAAACGGUUUGAAGUGGAAGAUUUAUUCAUUCACCGAAGAAACGAGUCAAAUAUCCAUUGGUAUAAAACCUAUCCCCAGCAACGUCAACCUGCAGAAGGAAAGGCUAGUUUGCAUGUAGCCUUCACACUCGAAGGUCACGCACGGAGAUCAUUACGUAAAACGUGUCAUGCAGUGGUGUAGACUGUAGAGGUUGGACCCAUCCCCAGCAACGUCAAACUGCAGAAGAAAGGCAGUUUAUCCGAAUUCCAGUUUGCCUGUCCUUCACACUCGAAGGUCACGGAGAUCAUUACGUAAAACGUCAUGCAAUGGUGUAGAGGUUGGGUGAGAAAGGGACGCGUUUCAUCAUUAUCAAGCAGGUGUACAAUAGCCGCAAGGCUUGAGAGGUGAGGGUGAUAAAAAAAUCGUAUUAAAAGGAGAGAGAAAAGGCCCCAGUUAUUAGUCGAGCGAGCAUCUCCGACACGUCAAUAACUGCUUUGCACUAUCUGUCACCAACUGCCUUCUUCAUCGUAUUACCAGUUCACAAUCAUGGUUAACUAUGGCGUUGUGCUGCUGUUGUAUCCUUGAUGACUGGGUUGACCACUGGUGUAUCGAUUUCUCCUGGUUUUGGUGGAUACCAAGCAUCAGCGGGGAAAUAAUACUGCACCACGUUACCGCCUACACGUCGUAAACAUAUGUAACAUCUACUUACUACACCGAGGCCUUAAAUACUACACCACCAAGGUUUCAGAUUAUAUCACGAAUUAUUACUCUGCCCUCAACUACUACACCGAACCCCCGAAGUAUUACUAUGCCCCGAGUUACAUUACCGAAGCGCCUAGUACUAUACUGAGGCUCCCAAGUAUUAAACUACAACCUACGCUGCUCUAGGUUACUAUACUGAUGCUCCGAAGUACUAUUCUGAUCAUAGCCACUACACCGAAGUUCCAGCUUAUUACACCACCGAAGCGGUCGAGUACUACACCGAAGCGUCCUAGUACUACACUGCAACCUACUGCAGCUCACUGUUUGUCAUCAACUGCCUUUUUCAUCGUAUGAAAUCAGUUCGCACUCAUGGUUAACUAUGGCUUUGUGCUACUGUUGGGUGUUGUAUCGUUGAUGGCUGGGUCGACCUUGGUGUACCGAUGACCCCUGGGUAUGGUAGAUACUAAAACGCAACACCCCCUCCUUACUACUCAACAACAACGUACGCAACAACCGGUACGCAACUACAUCACCAAGGCUCCAGUGUAUUACAGCAAAACUUAUGAUGCCCCGAGCUACUACACAGAGCCCCAAAGUAUAAGUCUGCCCUGAGCUAUAUUAUCAAAGAGUCGGAGUACUACACCGAAGCGCCCAAGUACUUCACUACUACCUACGCUGCCCCGAGCUUCUACACCGAAGCCCCGAAAUAUUACACUGCGUUGAAGGAGUCGUCUAAAAGUAGAGAAAAGGAGAUAGAAAUCAGUCGAGUGAGGAUCUCCGACCCGGCAACAACUGCAACGGAUUACUUGUCACCAACUGGAUUGUUAAUCGUAUAACCAGUCCGCAAUCAUGGUAAACUAUAGCGUCGUGCUGCUGUUGGGUGUUGAAUCAUUGGUGGCUGGGUCGACCGCUGGUGUACCGAUGUCUCCUUGGCAUUGUGGAUACCAAAUCACAAUGCCUCUGCAGGGUACUGGUACACAACAACAACUUACGCAACGACUAGUUACUACACAGAGGGCCCUAAGUACUACACCACUAAGGCACCGGAGUAUUAUACCACAAAUUACGCUGCCCUGAGCUACUACAUUGACGCCCUAAAGUAUUACUCUUCCCCGAACUACACCACCCCUUAGUACCCGAGUACUACACGACUUCGUAUGCUGCGCUGUCCCAUCCUACUACACCGAGGCUCCCAAGUACUACUCUGUUCUCAGCUGCUUGUAGUAAUCCUAAGUACUACUUUGUUUCUAGAUACUACACUAAAGCUCCAGCUUAUUACACCAACGAAGUGGUCGACUACUAUACCAAAGCGCCUAAGUACUGCACUGCAACCUACGCUGCCCCAGGUUACACCACGAAGGCACCGGAAUACUACAUCAUAAACAAACCGUGCCUCAGCCUAAUACACCCGAUCUACACCACCACAUCUGAGGCGGCAAAGUAUUACUACUCAGCGCCUUCAAUUUCAUAGUAAGGUGGCAGCAUACCAAUGUCUUAUGUUAACUGUUUUGAAGUGAGCUAGAUUGGUUGGUAGAUGUAAUUCUUAGUAUUUUUAAUGUGUUCGUUCAAAUUACGUGGGGUUGGAAAGAGCUAAAGAUUGUAGUUAAAGAUUCAAAUAAAAUUUAUUGCAUGUGAAGUUUUCCCGAAAAUGAUCAGCUAUUUUUCAUUAGUAGAUAAAUGUUGAAGUUCGAAUACUUGGAAAUCACGCUUUCUAUACCACGUCGUCCAACACGUCAAAAAGUUGAGUAACAUUUAACACGAGCAAUAUUCUUAAUGAUAAAAUUUUUGAAACAAUCAACAUUGUUUUUACAACUAUUUCAUACAGAAUUUGCUUUUAUGGAAAAUUUUUAAUAGAUCUAGUGUACAUUAUACAUACACAGUAACUGACCAAUAUGAUACACUGUUGCAGCCCAUAUAGACGAAACACAUUAUGUAUUGUGUUAAAUUGUCUUUGUCUAUUUUAUUAAUUGUUUAUCUAAAAUUUAUCUGUUAAAAAUUUAAAAAAUGUAGGAAAUUUAAUGAGAAGUUAUUCCACAAUGGGAAUAAAUUUUAAUACAU
This 3242-nucleotide long non-coding RNA is filed under the name Daphnia pulicaria. RNAcentral describes it as "uncharacterized LOC124311594, transcript variant X3". The record is from RNAcentral. Lineage: Eukaryota; Metazoa; Arthropoda; Branchiopoda; Diplostraca; Daphniidae.